RNAcentral lists this ribosomal RNA (465 nucleotides) under Vreelandella stevensii. RNAcentral's name for it is "partial 16S ribosomal RNA". It matches the Rfam family "Bacterial small subunit ribosomal RNA", at positions 338 to 795 of the family's 1533-position model. The record is from RNAcentral. Lineage: Bacteria; Pseudomonadati; Pseudomonadota; Gammaproteobacteria; Oceanospirillales; Halomonadaceae.
CCUACGGGUGGCUGCAGUGGGGAAUAUUGGACAAUGGGCGAAAGCCUGAUCCAGCCAUGCCGCGUGUGUGAAGAAGGCCUUCGGGUUGUAAAGCACUUUCAGUGGGGAAGAAAGCCUUGGGGCUAAUACCCUCGAGGAAGGACAUCACCCACAGAAGAAGCACCGGCUAACUCCGUGCCAGCAGCCGCGGUAAUACGGAGGGUGCGAGCGUUAAUCGGAAUUACUGGGCGUAAAGCGCGCGUAGGCGGUCUGAUAAGCCGGUUGUGAAAGCCCCGGGCUCAUCCUGGGAACGGCAUCCGGAACUGUCAGGCUAGAGUGCAGGAGAGGAAGGUAGAAUUCCCGGUGUAGCGGUGAAAUGCGUAGAGAUCGGGAGGAAUACCAGUGGCGAAGGCGGCCUUCUGGACUGACACUGACGCUGAGGUGCGAAAGCGUGGGUAGCAAACAGGAUUAGAUACCCUGGUAGUC